RNAcentral lists this ribosomal RNA (462 nucleotides) under Naziritor chelynoides (dark mahseer). Its description in RNAcentral is "Puntius chelynoides (dark mahseer) partial 16S ribosomal RNA". It matches the Rfam family "Bacterial large subunit ribosomal RNA", at positions 2001 to 2614 of the family's 2925-position model. Lineage: Eukaryota; Metazoa; Chordata; Actinopteri; Cypriniformes; Cyprinidae. The record is from RNAcentral.
UAAACGAGGGCUUAACUGUCUCCCUUUUCAAGUCAGUGAAAUUGAUCUACCCGUGCAGAAGCGGGUAUAAAAAUACAAGACGAGAAGACCCUUUGGAGCUUAAGGUACAAAGCUCAGCCACGUUAAGCGACUAAAUGAAGAGCAAAAACUUUGUGAAACGUGGGAUUUUACCUUCGGUUGGGGCGACCGCGGAGGAAAAAUAAGCCUCCAAGUGGACCGGGACAAACUCCUAGAACCAAGAGAGACAUCUCUAAGCCACAGAAUAUCUGACCAAACAUGAUCCGGCCACAAAGCCGAUCAACGAACCAAGUUACCCUAGGGAUAACAGCGCAAUCCUCUCCCAGAGUCCAUAUCGACGAGGGGGUUUACGACCUCGAUGUUGGAUCAGGACAUCCUAAUGGUGCAGCCGCUAUUAAGGGUUCGUUUGUUCAACGAUUAAAGUCCUACGUGAUCUGAGUUCAG